UACGUAGGGGGCGAGCGUUGUCCGGAUUUAUUGGGCGUAAAACGCUUGUAGGCGGCCACCGCGCGUCGGACGUGAAAUCUCCCGGCUCAACUGGGAGGGGUCGUGCGAUACGGCGGGGCUCGAGGCCGGUAGGGGGACGCGGAAUUCCGGGUGUAGUGGUGGAAUGCGUAGAGAUCCGGAGGAACACCAGCGGCGAAGGCGGCAUCCUGGACUGGUCCUGACACUCAUGAGCGAAAGCGUGGGGAGCGAUCCGG
This 254-nucleotide ribosomal RNA is filed under the name uncultured bacterium. RNAcentral's name for it is "partial 16S ribosomal RNA". It matches the Rfam family "Bacterial small subunit ribosomal RNA", at positions 524 to 776 of the family's 1533-position model. The record is from RNAcentral.